UGCUGUAUGUGGAUUUCUAACAACAUGAUAAAACAUUCUCAAGAAUAACUUUGUUUCAUCACUAUUUAAAAACCUUGGUGCCUCCCAAACACAGCACAGAAAUCGAGCAGAGGAGAUAGACUUUGGAGACAAAACACACCAACUAAAACGUAUCGUCGUGCACAAACAUGUUACCAGAAACAAUGGAAUAAGAUCAACAAUAUGUAUUAGAAAACUUCUGAAACUAUAUCAUAAGAACACCACCCAAAAACCCAAGGUGUCCCUUUUCUCUCAGCAAUCCCUGGGCAAUCAAGGGAGACUACUUCCUCUUGAUACUCAGGCUGAAAACAAUGGUUCAAAGAAGAUUAAUUCCAAGGAUUUUUGAACAGGUCUAUGCUAGCCAUCUUAAACUGCGAUAGCAAUGGAGCAAGCCGUACAACUUGACAGGUCAACAACAUCAUGACAUGGCGGUGCCAACCGCAGCCGCUCCUCGCGGCACAACAUGGUGCCCUGCCCCUCACACCGCGCCACUGCCGCACUCUUACCUUACCAGGGGCCACAGACCCUGCCGGAUUCUGGAAGUGUCAGCCUCAAAAGAAAGCACAGCCCAAGCCGCUGCUCACUUCACCUUGCUCUCCCUGCAGACAGCACGGCAGCCCACAGCCAAGUAGUGCCAGCGCUGGAAGCUUCCUGAAGGUGGGCGGCAACCGGGGCGGCACAGCCGGGCCUUGCCUCACAGUGGCCCGCAUGCUGUCCCUGCGCUGUGGCUGCCCAGCUGCUGGCAGGCGUUUUCGUGGCUUCUGCAAGCAACUUGUGCAGGACUUGUGCAGAGGGACAAUCUGUCAUGAAAAUACCAGGAGACAGAAACAUACCUCUGUGCAGUCCCUUCAAUUGUUCACUGCAGACACAAAGGAUAGAGCAAAGGUGCAAAACUGUUGUCUGUUGGAAUAUGCCUCUCAUGGACUUGGCUGUUGUAGAAAUCCCCUGUCACGACAGCUCAGCGAAACAGGUAUGAGAAGGAUUGACAGCCAGGCUUAAUCCGUGUGCCAUCAACACGACGUAAACCAAACUGCAUGCUGCUUUUGUAUUUUGUCCCUUUGUUGCUUAUGUAUGCCUUAUUUCCCAUUUUAUUAAAAAAAAAUAUGUUGAUAAAUAAGUGUAUUAGAGUUGUGGCCUUAAUCUCCUCAGCUUUGUGCUGCACUGCGGCUGGGACACGAACCCUCUUUGUGGGUGAUGUUCUGUUCGUGCAUAAUGAGGCACCGCUGCUGCACGGAUAUAUAUGGGACCAGGAAAAACGAAGUGACAACUUAUUUCACUAAAUUCCUAGAAUUUAGUACCCAACAUAGUAAAAUACAAUGGGCGAUUGGUCAAACUCGGGCAACUGAAAUACAACGUGGAAACGUAACCUAGAAGAAAAGGAAUUACGUCUGGUCUGUGGUAUUUUAGCGUGGUUAAUGGCCAUGCAAUUGUUCAUUCUGGUCCAUGUUCAAAGCCUCUCAUUGAAUAUAUGAGUUAACAGGUAAAAAUGGAGGCACUUCACUGAAUGACUGGGGAUUUUUACAAGGUGUUUUUAGAACUCUCUCAUCCUCUCCCUGCAUACCUUUUUCAGAGAGAUUGUGGUGUUUAAACUAUAUUUAGCGAUAAAAGUGAGACAUUACCUACAUCCUGCUAUAGCGGAGAAGGUAAAUCAAGGCUUUCACAUCCAUUUCCAAACUACUUUUAAAGGCCACACGCAGAAGAUUAGGCUCUUAGGGUUAAGUGCAAGUUUUCUCGUUCAGCAGAACAGCGCCUAGAACUGCCUCCUCACCCCAGAGCGGAGCACAGCGAAAACGCUAUUUACCAGCAAUUACUGCCUUCACUAAGAAGCGCCUACUGCAGGCAUCUGGCAAAGCGCUGCCAGUAACUCCAGGUCCCCCAGUCGCUAACCCCGGCGCGGACGCCGAGCUCUCCCCGGAGCGGGUACCGCACGGCCGCGCCUCCCCGGCCGCUCUGCCCCGCGCAGCCCCCGGCCGAGGGCCCGGCCCCAGCCCCGAGGCGC
Molecule: long non-coding RNA, 2017 nt
Organism: Anser brachyrhynchus (Pink-footed goose)
Lineage: Eukaryota; Metazoa; Chordata; Aves; Anseriformes; Anatidae
Source: Ensembl